CUUGAGGUCAGGAGAUGGAGACCAGCCUGGGCAAAAUGGAGACGGGUUUGGCUCUGUGAUUCAUCAGAAAUAAGAAAAACAAACACUGUAAAUGGAGAACUUGAAAAAGAGGUGGGCACCAUCUCCCCACCCAAGAGAAUGGAUUUAAGAGGAAAUUUGUUUAUGGGAUGAAGUUUUAAAAGGCGACCUGGAAAAUUUAGCAAAGAUGUAAAUAAACAACUCUUCCUUGGAUUGCAUUAGGCUUCAGAAUAAAUAUAUUAACCAGCUUCAGUCAAAGUCUGCCUAGAAUCUGACCCUGACAAGACCCAGUGACUAGUGCUGCUCCGAACCUUCCCCACCAACAGCAGGCAAUUUUCUCUGUGGCAAAGCUACCUCGAAACAGGCAUCCAGGCUUCCCUCCCACGAAGUGAAGAUGAGAAAACUGAGUCUCAGAAUGGACAAGCUCACAGAUGGCAAGUGGUAGAGCAGACUUCACACAUAGCCAUCUGAGUGAGAUGGGAAGCUGAUCCUCCAGCCCUGAUCAAGCCUUCAAAUGACUGCACCUCCAGCUGACAGAUUACCAAAAGCAACCUCCUUCCAGAAGACCUUGAGCCAAAACCACUCAGCUAAGCUACUUCCAGAUCCCUGAUCCUCGGAAACUGUGCGAGACAAUAAAUGUUUAAAUGGCCACCCACUUUGGAAUAAAGAGGACAUAUAAUUUGCCUAAGGUCACAUAGCACUCUCUAAAUCAGUACAGUAUUUUAGACAAAGCUUCAACUUUGCACUUUUAUGGGUCAUUUUGAUAUAAGACUACAAGGAUAUCUCCUCCCAUGACAAACUUGACUUCAUUUACAACAAAAGGCCAAGCAAGAUACAGUACACUGUGGGGAUAAAUGGUACUCACUGAGGACAGGAAUAUGCUGACAUUAUCUCAAUUUCCUCCUCCCUCCUGUUGUUCUCCUUUGGAUGCUUUCCUGGACUAUAGGGAGAAGGAAAAUAGAGAAAGGCCAACUGCGACUAGGCCAGAGAUCAGAUGUUACCUUGUAGGAAGCAUCUCAUUCUAACCUUAAGUACUCUCUUGAUGAAGUACGGGGCCAAGAGAUUUUGGAAUUCUACCACACAAGGUUGCUCAGCAUUCCAAGAAGUAUUGAUAACUCUUCAAGAGCAAAAGUCAUUUAAAUUAAACUUCUCUGGCCGGGCAUGGUAGCUCAUAUCUGUAAACCCAGCACUUUGGGA
This 1215-nucleotide long non-coding RNA is filed under the name Homo sapiens (human). RNAcentral describes it as "HSALNT0328471". Lineage: Eukaryota; Metazoa; Chordata; Mammalia; Primates; Hominidae. The record is from RNAcentral.